AUUGAACGCUGGCGGCAGGCUUAACACAUGCAAGUCGAGCGAGCGGCGGACGGGUGAGUAAUGUCUGGGAAUACGCCAGAGGGAGGGGGAUAACUACUGGAAACGGUAGCUAAUACCGCAUACCAUCAGAUGUGCCCAUAUUGGAUUCGUUAGUAUGUGGGGUAAUGGCUCACCGCGGCGACGACCCCUAGCUGGUCUGAGAGGAUGACCAGCCACACUGGAACUGAGACACGGUCCAGACUCCUACGGGAGGCAGCAGUGGGGAAUAUGGCACAAUGGGCGCAAGCCUGAUGCAGCCAUGCCGCGUGUGUGAAGAAGGCCUUCGGGUUGUAAAGCACUUUCAGCGAGGAGGCGUUACUCGCAGAAGAAGCACCGGCUAACUCCGGGCCAGCCGCCGCGGUAAUAC
RNAcentral lists this ribosomal RNA (406 nucleotides) under uncultured bacterium. RNAcentral's name for it is "partial 16S ribosomal RNA". It matches the Rfam family "Bacterial small subunit ribosomal RNA", at positions 30 to 526 of the family's 1533-position model. The record is from RNAcentral.